Long non-coding RNA from Triplophysa dalaica, 1734 nucleotides. RefSeq lists it as uncharacterized. Lineage: Eukaryota; Metazoa; Chordata; Actinopteri; Cypriniformes; Nemacheilidae. The transcript is spliced from 5 exons. The record is from RefSeq and is a predicted model, not a curated record.
CCAAGGAGCCAGGUUUUAAGAGUUUCAAUUUUUAUUUGCUUGAGAAAGCAAAGAGAGACAUACUGUCAGGAUGGUAGAAACACACGGAUUCAAUAGCAGGUAAGAUAGUUUAUUAGAGGCAGGUUGGCAGACGGUCUAUAGGAAUUCAAGGCAGAGUCUCUGGCUGCGAGGCCAACUGGGAAACCCAGCAUACGGCAGCGCCAGCGACUUGAAUAAAGCCAAGACCGUAGUCCUCCGCGCUGGCUAAGAGGCCAACUGGGAAACCCAGCAUACGGCAGCGCCAGCGACUGGAUGAAGAGUGUCCCCGCUCAGCUGCUUGAUAGAUGGUAAGGAGACGAGCUUCCACAAGAUGAACACUCCGACAGUGUGCAAAAGUUCUUACACAGGAGGGAGAUCUUAUGGUUCAAGUCCCGGGAGGAGAGAGGAGCAGCCCAGUAGACAGGGGAGAAGCGGCCACGGCAGAGAAUCCACGUAGCAGGUGUUGUGAUGGGCUCUAAGUUUCUGGAGGCGACUCCGGUGACAGCUUUGAACCUACAAACCAAACCAAAAAGAAUAUGUUUUCUUACAUCGGAUUCACCGAUUUCCAUCUUGUGGCCGUUUAGAGAAUUACAUGCAGGACCGUCACUUCAGCAAAGCCUCUGAUGGGAGACGCGACAGAAAGAAAAGCGAGCACAGGUUAUGUAUAUUCACUUUCUUUAAUAAUACACUCAUAUUAAAUACGAGAGCAAUUAAUGCACAAAUGAGAUGUUUCAUUUAAUGCCUGAUAUGUUGUUUAUGCAGCUUCGUUAAUUCAAUUCAAGUUUAUUUAUAUAGCGCUUUUCACAAUGUGUAUUGUUUCAAAGCAGCUUUACAGGGGCAAACAGGAAAAACAGAAAAGUUAAAACACAGCACAGUGCAUGGUGUUUAUACAACGAGUAAGAUCAUUCUAAUAAAUAAUAUCUAAUUUCUAAUUAAAUAAAUAAAUGAAUGAAUGCAGUCUCUCGGUGAGCAGGCCAACACUGCCCUGCUGUGGCGAGGAACCCAAACUCCAAUGAUUGAUUAAUGGAGAAAAAAACCUCGGGAGAAACCAGGCUCAACCGGGAGGGCCAGAUCCCCUCUGAUGUGUCAUAGCUGCACUCAAACUGCUGACAUGUGAUUUAAGUUUAGCAUUUAAUACCAAAUAGUGUAACUUCAGCAUUAAUAAGACAAAUAGUCCGUCUUUGCUCUUGGUUGGGGAUGUAGUGGUCUGAGCUGGGAUGAUCCGAUGGGCAUAUUUCUCUUGGCCUUAGAUGGAGCUGGGAUGGUCAGUCAGUCUGCAGCUGUAGCUGGCGUAAUCUCAAUUGGGGAUGGGCAUCUGUCGGUCGUCUGGACAUGGUGGAACUUCUUCCUACCUCGGGAUGGCUAUUCAGGGCUUUGAACUGUCAGAAAGAACAUACUAACAUCGACGGCCACUGACCAAGAAAUAGAAUUAUAUAUUAAAAAAUGGCUUCACCUGGCUGGUGACCGUGAUGGUGGGAGACGCGAAAGAGAGAAACGGAGGAGUGCCCAAGAUACACGCCCGCAAGACUGCCAUGGAGCUGAUGGGCCCAGUCAAGGAGUUCAUUAAAACGUGUAUUUGGAUGGUUCCUGUCUAAUUAAUAGUCUUAUAAGAUGACUUAACACCAUUUUUGUGUUUUAUUUGUUUUAAUUGUUAUUGUUCUUUUUUGCAUAUUCAGAUUGCUUCCCAGUUUUGGAUGUGUAAUCAUGCAAUGUUUG